UCCCUGCCCGCUGCAGCGCUGUCUCCGGUGAGUCAGAGGCUGGUAAUGUUCCCGACCAUCGCUCACAGGGACGCGGGCGCCCCAAAACUUUCCGCCUGCAACCUCACCUGCAGGGACUGUGACCUCUGCUCUCCUCAGAGACCGGCUGUCUUGUGUGCGAGUUAGUUCGGAGCCCGUCAGCCGUGUACCGGGUGAACGCAUUAGAGACGUGCAGGGGGAUGGAGCUGACACUCAGGACGCGGACAGCACCAGUGCUGGGGAGGAUGCGGAGCGGCAGGAGGCCUGGGCCAUCGCUGGCGGGGAUGCGGGACGGAGCCGCCUCUUGGAGUCACGUGGCCGCUCCUUGGAGCAGGAAAUGUCCUCUCAUCCCCUGGCCGCUGCCGCCCUCCUCGGCAGGUACCCGAAGGCGCUGAGAACGGACCUCCACACAGAAACCUGCACGCGGGUCACAGCGCUGUCUUCGUCGCUGCCCAACACGGGGCAGUGCUGUCCUUCAGCAGGCGAUGGUCCACCCAGAGCUGGGAAGCCUGCUCCGCGGGACAAAGAAAUGGGUAUCAAGCCCUGAAAGGCCGUGGAGGAAUCUUCAGGGCGUGUUUCUACGUGACAGAAACCAGCGUGGAAAGGCUGCAGGCGGUGUGAUGCUGACUGUGUGGCCUCCGGGAAAAGGCAAAACCGAUGGAGGCCCUGAAAAGACGAGUGGUUGUUAGGGUUUAGGGGGCAGCGGGAGGCUCUGAGGCCAUGGACCCAGCUAACAUCCUCUAGUUUAGCUGGAGGUGGUGCCAGGGUGUGGGGCCAGGCUUCCCCGAAAGCUCUUGGAAAGGGGACAGAGAAAAGAAGGUGGAGCAGGAGGAAUAAACUGGCACCUUCAUCCUCGGUCCUCGGCCUGGAAUGCAGGCUCCGUGCUGCAGGCAGAGCUGCCACCUGUGACGGCCCCCACUGAGGAGCGAGCCCAGAGGCGGCACGGAGCCCGGGAUGUGUCGCCGCACGACCUCGGACAGCGCCUUGUGGUCUGGAAUUGGAGUGUCCUCUGCACAAUGACGUCAUGCAGUGUGCGUGCCGCCAGCACAGUGCCUGGCACGUGAUAAGGACUGAAUAGAAGGUGGCACCAACCUGGAGUCCCCCCCUCCCCCCACAUUGCCAUGCACGAGACCUUUAAAAAGAGAGCACCUUCGGCAGCAUGGGUCUCAGACACUGAAUAUGAUAGAGUUUCUGGCUCAUUGUCAUGUGAAAGGCCACGGUCACCUGAUGCCAAGUGGGUCUUCCCAGGCCUGGCCUCAGAGCGUUACUCACUCCUUCACUCCCUCCCCACCUUCGGGGUGUUGCUGCCUACAGAUCAUUCCAGGGCAGGGGUGGGGACCAUCUGGCCCGCGGGCCCUGCAGACCCUGAAAUCAUGUGGUCUGGCCCUGCCAAGGCAUGAGGGGUGAGAUAAUUCGAUGUUGACCAAAGCUAGCAGGCUGAGUUUUCAGUUGAUAAUUUUGCAUGGCCCACGAAUGAUGCUCUAAACAUCCAAAUGGCCUUGGCA
Long non-coding RNA from Myotis davidii, 1523 nucleotides. RefSeq lists it as uncharacterized. Lineage: Eukaryota; Metazoa; Chordata; Mammalia; Chiroptera; Vespertilionidae. The transcript is spliced from 2 exons. The record is from RefSeq and is a predicted model, not a curated record.